RNAcentral lists this ribosomal RNA (440 nucleotides) under uncultured bacterium. Its description in RNAcentral is "partial 16S ribosomal RNA". It matches the Rfam family "Bacterial small subunit ribosomal RNA", at positions 338 to 795 of the family's 1533-position model. The record is from RNAcentral.
CCUACGGGAGGCAGCAGUAGGGAAUAUUGCUCAAUGGGGGAAACGCUGAAGCAGCAACGCCGCGUGGGGGAUGAAGGUUUUCGGAUUGGAAACUCCUUUUGUUAGAGAAGAUAAUGACGGUAUCUAACGAAUAAGCACCGGCUAAAUCCGUGCCAGAAGCCACGGUAAUACGGCGGGUGCAAGCGUUACACGGAAUCACUGGGCGUAAAGAGCGAGUAGGCGGGGUAGCAAGUCAGAGGUGAAAGUCUAUGGAUUAAACAUAGAACUGCAUUUGAAACUGUUAUUCUAGAGUAUGGGAGAGGUAGGUGGAAUUCUUGGUGUAGGGGUAAAAUCCGUAGAGAUCAAGAGGAAUUCUCAUUGCGAAGGCGACCUGCUAGAACAUAACUGACGCUGAUGCGCGAAAGCGUGGGGAGCAAACAGGAUUAGAUACCCUAGUAGUC